UGAUCCAGCAUGCCGCGUGUGUGAAGAAGGCCUUCGGGUUGUAAAGCACUUUUGUCCGGAAAGAAAACGCUCUGGUUAAUACCUGGGGCGGAUGACGGUACCGGAAGAAUAAGCACCGGCUAACUACGUGCCAGCAGCCGCGGUAAUACGUAGGGUGCGAGCGUUAAUCGGAAUUACUGGGCGUAAAGCGUGCGCAGGCGGUUUUGUAAGACAGGCGUGAAAUCCCCGAGCUCAACUUGGGAAUUGCGCUUGUGACUGCAAGGCUAGAGUGUGUCAGAGGGGGGUAGAAUUCCACGUGUAGCAGUGAAAUGCGUAAAGAUGUGGAGGAAUACCGAUGGCGAAGGCAACCCCCUGGGACGUGACUGACGCUCAUGCACGAAAGCGUGGGGAGCAAACAGGAUUAAAUACCCUGGUAGUCCACGCCCUAAAC
Molecule: ribosomal RNA, 430 nt
Filed under: uncultured bacterium
Lineage: Bacteria
Description: bacterial SSU rRNA
Rfam family: Bacterial small subunit ribosomal RNA
Source: RNAcentral